Molecule: ribosomal RNA, 670 nt
Filed under: Cytobacillus firmus
Lineage: Bacteria; Bacillati; Bacillota; Bacilli; Caryophanales; Bacillaceae
Description: bacterial SSU rRNA
Rfam family: Bacterial small subunit ribosomal RNA
Source: RNAcentral
AGUCGAGCGGACGGAUGGGAGCUUGCUCCCUGAAGUCAGCGGCGGACGGGUGAGUAACACGUGGGCAACCUGCCUGUAAGACUGGGAUAACUUCGGGAAACCGGAGCUAAUACCGGAUAAUGCACAACCUCUCAUGAGGCUAUGCUGAAAGAUGGUUUCGGCUAUCACUUACAGAUGGGCCCGCGGCGCAUUAGCUAGUUGGUGAGGUAACGGCUCACCAAGGCAACGAUGCGUAGCCGACCUGAGAGGGUGAUCGGCCACACUGGGACUGAGACACGGCCCAGACUCCUACGGGAGGCAGCAGUAGGGAAUCUUCCGCAAUGGACGAAAGUCUGACGGAGCAACGCCGCGUGAGUGAUGAAGGUUUUCGGAUCGUAAAACUCUGUUGUCAGGGAAGAACAAGUGCCGGAGUAACUGCCGGCACCUUGACGGUACCUGACCAGAAAGCCACGGCUAACUACGUGCCAGCAGCCGCGGUAAUACGUAGGUGGCAAGCGUUGUCCGGAAUUAUUGGGCGUAAAGCGCGCGCAGGCGGUCUCUUAAGUCUGAUGUGAAAGCCCACGGCUCAACCGUGGAGGGUCAUUGGAAACUGGGGGACUUGAGUGCAGAAGAGGAAAGUGAAAUUCCACGUGUAGCGGUGAAAUGCGUAGAGAUGUGGAGGAACACCAGU